RNAcentral lists this ribosomal RNA (611 nucleotides) under uncultured bacterium. Its description in RNAcentral is "bacterial SSU rRNA". It matches the Rfam family "Bacterial small subunit ribosomal RNA", at positions 338 to 951 of the family's 1533-position model. The record is from RNAcentral.
CCUAACGGGAGGCAGCAGUGAGGAAUAUUGGUCAAUGGGCGCAAGCCUGAACCAGCCAUGCCGCGUGCAGGAUGACGGUCCUAUGGAUUGUAAACUGCUUUUGUACAGGAAGAAACACUCCCUCGUGAGGGAGCUUGACGGUACUGUAAGAAUAAGGAUCGGCUAACUCCGUGCCAGCAGCCGCGGUAAUACGGAGGAUCCAAGCGUUAUCCGGAAUCAUUGGGUUUAAAGGGUCCGUAGGCGGGUUUAUAAGUCAGUGGUGAAAGCCCAUCGCUCAACGAUGGAACGGCCAUUGAUACUGUAGAUCUUGAAUUAUUAGGAAGUAACUAGAAUAUGUAGUGUAGCGGUGAAAUGCUUAGAGAUUACAUGGAAUACCGAUUGCGAAGGCAGGUUACUACUAAUGGAUUGACGCUGAUGGACGAAAGCGUGGGUAGCGAACAGGAUUAGAUACCCUGGUAGUCCACGCCGUAAACGAUGGAUACUAGCUGUUCGGAGCAAUCUGAGUGGCUAAGCGAAAGUGAUAAGUAUCCCACCUGGGGAGUACGUUCGCAAGAAUGAAACCUUAAAGGAAUUGACGGNNGAGAGAGCGACGACGACGACGAGGGAGGAGG